RNAcentral lists this ribosomal RNA (250 nucleotides) under uncultured bacterium. RNAcentral describes it as "partial 16S ribosomal RNA". It matches the Rfam family "Bacterial small subunit ribosomal RNA", at positions 524 to 773 of the family's 1533-position model. The record is from RNAcentral.
UACGGGGGGGGCGAGCGUUGUUCGGAAUUACUGGGCGUAAAGGGCUCGCAGGCGGCCCGCUAAGUCAGACGUGAAAUCCCUCGGCUCAACCGGGGAACUGCGUCUGAGACUGGCGGGCUCGAAUCCGGGAGAGGGAUGCGGAAUUCCAGGUGUAGCGGUGAAAUGCGUAGAUAUCUGGAGGAACACCGGUGGCGAAGGCGGCAUCCUGGACCGGUAUUGACGCUGAGGAGCGAAAGCCAGGGGAGCAAAC